Non-coding RNA from Struthio camelus australis, 3833 nucleotides. The record is from RefSeq and is a predicted model, not a curated record. NCBI's taxonomy places the organism in Eukaryota, Metazoa, Chordata, Aves, Struthioniformes, Struthionidae.
UCCAUGCAAAGCCAUGGCUUUUGCUGAGCUCCUGCAGGCAGGCGAGCUCCCGCUGAACACUGGACAACUCGAUGUUAACAGGCUCUUGCUGCUGUGCGAGGGCAGUGGUUCUCAGCGAAGAUGUAAUCUGCGCAUCAUGAGACAAGAACGCAACAGAUCUGCCAGGUUUUAAUGCAACAUACCAACUAUUUUGACUUGGUCUUAGAAAUGCUUUCCAGUGUCAGAUCAAAUUAGUGUUUCCUAUGACUGAAGCCACUGAAACUUUGUCAGCGGCGCUCCAUGCCACAAAAGCCCAGAGCCUCGCGCUGAGCAAGUCGCCCUCAAAUCACCCGCGGCGUGGAAGCGCGUCGUGCCCCGCUCACGUGGGACGGGGCGAUGGAGAUCCAAAUGGGAACGGACGCUCGGGUUGUUCUGCUCAUCUGCAAUGGGUCAGCAGCGGAGCCGCAGCCUCCACACGCGCUCCCUGCCUCGGCGCUGCUGUCGGCGGACUCGCGCCAAGGAGACCGUGACAAGCCCCACGUCCUCCUGGGUCCACCUGGAACAAGCCAUGCUGAGGGACCUCGAGCUCGACGCCCAUCGUGGUGGGGGUUUCUGCCAGCCCAGGAGCCGUCCUGCAGCGGAGGAGCACCUCAACACGUGUCCAUCCUCCUUGGGUGCGUGGGACCCAGCUCUGCGACGGUGCUGAGGACGUGUCCCCAUCACAGCUAAUGAGUAGAGUUGUGCAGCGGCCUAAAUAUCUACAGACGUGAGGCAUUGGCAGAAGCUGUCCUUAUAGAUAUGCUCCUCCAGCAAGGCAAUGAAGCAUUUGCUUAUUUAAAUGAGAGAAAGUCACAUUCAGUCUUAAAGGUACGCUGUGACAACAGUUUAGCAGAGGACGUGAUGACGAGGGCAUCCAGCGGAGACGGCUGGGAGCUUUAGGGCCCAAAGCAAUUCCCACUGGCGUCGAUGGAAACGUUUGCAGUACCUUCAGCAGCUGCUGGAUCAGGCCUUAAAGAAGGUAGAUGCCAUUGUGCAACCUGAAAUUGGGUCAGUUUUGCUACCACUGGUAUUUUAUCGUUGUGCAAGAGUUCUUGUGCAACUGUAAGGUCAGGAUCUGAGUUUCGCGUCUUACCUGAUGACAAAUCCAGCAGAAAAAUGCCCAGAGGAGCCGUGCUUGGGCACUGACUCAGAGCGAGACCCACUGUCUUCUGACUCACUGGCUGCUCCUGAAACCCGCAGCUUUCCUGGGUGAUCUUCGACCGAUAUCUAAGCAAGCGCAGCGUGUGAGCUGUGAUCGAGAGGAUCUCAGCCUGUAUCUUCACUGUUGCAAAAUGCAGCUUUGUAUAAUUUUUCCUGCAACAACAAAAAAUGUCCAGUGUUAAGACUUCUCAGAGGUGAGUCUGUUUCCAUUUUACCUGCUCUGCUCGCCUUCCCCGACAGAGACUCCACCUCUCCCUCUGCUAUUCGGUGAAGAGCAGCUUGAGGCCGGGAGAUGAUGUCAGCUGAAAAAGCAGGUACAACCUAAACAGAAGCAAUCCAUUAAGACGAGAGAGAAGGAAGAGAGAGAGAGAGAAAGAAAAAAAAAAACUUUUGGAGAAGAUUUUAAAAGUUUCCUGAUGGAUCAGCAUCCUUGAGAUUAAACAUUCCCAUAUGUAAGUUGACAUUUUAAAAUGUAAGUCUUAUGAAAGAUAAGAAGGAAAUUGUGAGAAAUGCAACCUUAAAUAUUUUGAAGCAUGACUUCCUGUAUUAUGUGGCAGUUGGCAAAACUUUCAGGGAAAAGAUGCACGCCUCAAAAUCCACACGGUGUAGUGCACUUAUUUGCCUAAAAUUUUCCUCCUGUUCCUUAAUGUUUUCAUGUUCUAACUCUUCCACACCUUUGGACUAGAGUUGCAGUAUCAUUCGAACGUUGCUUUUAAUCUCUCGGACAGAUGUUUUAGAUCAAUUGCUCAAAAUGGAUCGGUUUAGCAGUCAGAAAACACUGUCAAAAAAGAUUUGUUGCAAAGAAGACAAAACCGUGAAAUAAAAUUGAACUUUUAUCCCCAUUUGGAUGGGAACUGUGCUCGCCUGGGGAUCCCAGGGGAUGAGCACAGUGGCCUAUCAUGUGUUGAAAAAACAAACAGAUGACAGGAUUCUGCAGUAAUCAAGCAAAAGCUGCUUCCGAGAAAUCGUGUGCUCACCAUUGUUCAGUGCUGCAGGACCUAAAAAAAUAUAUAGUUAUUGAAGAAAGGAAGGUGACCUUGUGACUGAAGCUAGGGAAGACUAAAAAUCCACUGCCAAUAGCUCUGAAUUCUUCCAGGCUCUGAAGAGCCCACAGUUUUCUUGUAAGAAAGGUGUGAAACACACAGCUCUUAGUGAAGCAGCUGAACUUUAUUUUCUGGCAUUGUUCAGAAUUAUGAAAGAUUAACACACUAGUGGUGGUGGGUGUUAGUAUUUCCUGGCUGCAAAAGCUAUUCUUACGGUACAUCUUUUUAUUUCUGAAAAGCCAUGCAAAUAAGGCAGUGUCACUAACAUGAAUAGCCACAAGCUUCUUGCAGCCGAUUAAUAAAACAGAGAUGGCUCUUUCCAGUGCCCAGGGAGGACAACCUGAACUUCCUGGCACAACACAGUGUUUUUCUGUCUCUCACUAGAUACGUGUCAACAGAAACAUCUAAAUGUGCUUGUUCGAGAACGCUUUUUUGGUUAUUUUGUGUCCUGUGAUGCCCUGCUCGUAUGCUCAGCUGGAUCUCCACUUGGCACCAUCUUUUGGUCUAAUCAUGCUGCAACGCAGCAGUGUUAAGUACCUAUUUUGAAAUGACAAAUGUUCCAACAAAGGGCUAUGUUUCUGCCUCAUCAUCACGGCUUUGUCCUCCAUUUCUUUGCUCAGGCAUGUAGUUCGCUUUUCAGUUUUGCUAUACUUUGUUCUGGGUGGUUUUGCAGAAUGGUGGCUUUGCUUGCUUGUCUCACUCUACAUGCCUCCUGCUGGAUGAGUUUGCAUUGUGUGGUGUUUUCCUCCUCAUUUAUUGCAAACAAAUCUGGUCUCUGCCAUUUGUUUACUCGUAUACUCUGUCUUUAUGCCUUGGUAUGCAUUUUUAAUUAGAUGCGCUUCAGUUCUUUCGCUGCUUGUUAACACUUUCAUAUGGGAAAUACACUUUCCACUAGCCCUGCAAGCAUCCUCUUAGGAAAUUCAUAUUUGUUGCUCAUGUCCACGGUUAUCAUCUGGAUCACAAGUGAUACAGAGACUUGUUCUCUACCUGGCCUGUCUGCUGGGUUUCUAGAUUCCCAUCGAGCACUUUUAAGGUAGAAUGAUAUUUGCCUCAUCUUUAAAGUUCUCCUACCCGAGCAGGCUGAUCUGAAUGCCCUUUUUCCACUUGAAAAUAUUCUGCCUAGAUGGAAAUAAUGUUUUGGCUAUUUGUCCAGGCUGUUUCUGGACCUCAGUAACUCCCGUUAGGAUGUCUGAUAUCAAGAAGUCCUGCACAAAGUAUUGUAAUGUAUUGUAAUGAAAUUAUUUUGCACAAAUAUAGUAAAUCCAAAAGAUCAGGAAUGCAUCGGGUUAGCCAUGAAGACAUUGGCCAUCAGUUCUGUGAAUGGAGGAUGGCUGUGUCUGGGUAGGAAUACUGGAGACCUAAACACAUGACAGCUUUCAAAAAAGGCCUCUUUCCUGAGUGCCACUACCGUUAAAGCAUCAAAUUACUUUUGUUUUUUUUUAAUAGUUUGAGCACGUUUGUGAUUCCACUGUUAUUUCUUCUGCCUCUAAAUCUGACUCAUUCCACAGGCACAGGACUUCACCCUUUCUAGCUCUCUUCUAUACCAUUAGCUUUCUGGAAACGACGUGGGAACUGGAAUGGGAAAAUUUGACCCCUCUCCACUCUUUCAUU